Molecule: long non-coding RNA, 236 nt
Filed under: Gossypium raimondii (Peruvian cotton)
Lineage: Eukaryota; Viridiplantae; Streptophyta; Magnoliopsida; Malvales; Malvaceae
Description: long non-coding RNA (GRAI_LNC004155)
Source: RNAcentral
AAUAUUAAAUAAAAUAGUAAAAAAUGAUGAAAAUGAUAAUGAUAAUAACAAUAAUACUGAUAUAAUAAAUACAUAAAUAAAUCAUACAUAUGACAAUAUUUAAAGAUUAUAAAGGAAAUAAAAAUAAGUUAGUAAAAGAAAUGUUAAGAUUUAUAAAAAAAAAAAUCAUAAUAGGAGAAAAAAAAUAAUAUUAACUGAAAAAUAAGGACAAUAAACAAAUUAAUAGGUAAAUAAUA